Molecule: ribosomal RNA, 479 nt
Filed under: uncultured bacterium
Lineage: Bacteria
Description: partial 16S ribosomal RNA
Rfam family: Bacterial small subunit ribosomal RNA
Source: RNAcentral
AAUGAACGUUGGCGGCGUGGAUUAGGCAUGCAAGUCGAGCGAGAACCCCGCAAGGGGGGACAGCGGCAAACGGGGUAGUAAUGUGUCGGAACGUGCCCUGAGGUCGGGGAUAGCGGCGGGAAACUGCCGGUAAUACCCGAUGAUCUCGAGAGAGCAAAGGUGUGAUUCCGCCUUUGGAGCGGCCGACAUGGUAUUAGCUAGUUGGCGGGGUAACGGCCCACCAAGGCUGUGAUGCCUAGGGGAUGUGAGAGCAUGAUCCCCACCAUUGGGACUGAGACACUGCCCAGACACCUACGGGUGGCUGCAGUCGAGAAUCUUCGUCAAUGGGCGAAAGCCUGAACGAGCGACGCCGCGUGUGGGAUGAAGGCCUUUGGGUUGUAAACCACUGUCGAGGGGGAUGAAGGCUGGAUGGUCAUCUAUCCAGUUUGACAGAGCCCUGGAGGAAGCACGGGCUAAGUUCGUGCCAGCCGCCGCAGUAA